RNAcentral lists this transfer RNA (81 nucleotides) under Ixodes scapularis (black-legged tick). It matches the Rfam family "tRNA". Rfam says of the family: Transfer RNA (tRNA) molecules are approximately 80 nucleotides in length. The record is from Rfam by way of RNAcentral. Lineage: Eukaryota; Metazoa; Arthropoda; Arachnida; Ixodida; Ixodidae.
GCAGUCGUACCGAGUGGUUAAGGCGAUGGACUAAAAAUCCAUUGGGGUCUCCCCGCACAGGUUCGAAUCCUGUCGACUGCG